This 508-nucleotide ribosomal RNA is filed under the name uncultured bacterium. RNAcentral's name for it is "partial 16S ribosomal RNA". It matches the Rfam family "Bacterial small subunit ribosomal RNA", at positions 28 to 507 of the family's 1533-position model. The record is from RNAcentral.
GGCGAACGCUGGCGGCGUGCCUAAUACAUGCAAGUCGAACGCUUCUUUCCUCCCGAUUGCUUGCACUCAAGUGGAAAGAGGAGUGGCGGACGGGUGAGUAACACGUGGGUAACCUACGCAUCAGAGGGGGAUGACACGUGGAAACAGGUUCUAAUACCGCAUAACAGUUUAUGCCGCAUGGCAUAAGAGUGAAAGGCGCUGUCGGGUGUCGCUGAUGGCUUGAUCCGCGGUGCAUUAGCUAGUUGGUGAGGUAACGGCUCACCAAGGCCACGAUGCAUAGGCGACGUGAGAGGGUGAUAGGCGACACUGGGACUGGGACAGGGACAAGGCUCCUGCGGGAGGCACCAGUAGGGAAUCGUCGGCAGUGGACGAAAGUCUGACAGAGCAAGGCGGCGUGAGUGAAGAAGGUUCUCGGAUCGUAAAACUGUGUUGUUAGAGAAGAACAAGGUCGUCAGUAACUGAACGUCGACUGACGGUAUCUAAUCAGAAAGCAACGGCUAACUACGUG